AUUGAACGCUGGCGGCAUGCUUUACACAUGCAAGUCGAACGGCAGCACGGGUGCUUGCACCUGGUGGCGAGUGGCGGACGGGUGAGUAAUACAUCGGAACGUAUCCUAAAGUGGGGGAUAACGCAUCGAAAGAUGUGCUAAUACCGCAUACACUCUGAGGAGGAAAGUAGGGGAUCGAAGGACCUUAUGCUUUUGGAGCGGCCGAUGUCUGAUUAGCUAGUUGGUAAGGUAAUGGCUUACCAAGGCAACGAUCAGUAGUUGGUCUGAGAGGACGACCAGCCACACUGGGACUGAGACACGGCCCAGACUCCUACGGGAGGCAGCAGUGGGGAAUUUUGGACAAUGGGCGCAAGCCUGAUCCAGCCAUGCCGCGUGAGUGAAGAAGGCCUC
Molecule: ribosomal RNA, 390 nt
Filed under: uncultured bacterium
Lineage: Bacteria
Description: bacterial SSU rRNA
Rfam family: Bacterial small subunit ribosomal RNA
Source: RNAcentral